Molecule: non-coding RNA, 1129 nt
Organism: Paramuricea clavata
Lineage: Eukaryota; Metazoa; Cnidaria; Anthozoa; Malacalcyonacea; Plexauridae
Source: the annotation of a GenBank genome assembly
CGGUAAUCAACCCGUAGUUAUCAACAGUGACGAGGCCACGGAAAGGGGGGAGGAUGGGGGAUUUACAUUCCCCCUCUCCCAACCUCUCUUCAAGACCAAUUUUCCAGUUCUUCCAAAUCCGAUGACAAAAUGUUGCUAGGGGAGGGAGGGGGGGGGGGCAACAAACAAAUGUCUCGAGGGUAUCUAUCAAAAGUUCUAAGUUGCGUGCAUUUAAACCCAUUUCACAAAGUACUAUUUAUAUUACCCUUGACUGGCACAAGUGUUUGGGGUACAGAGAGAUUACAUGCCAUUGUCAGGCUCUUUGGCAUAAGAGUUUUAAUAGCAAAUACUUGACUAGCACUUUGGCGAUGACAAAUGUCUAAGCCUCUUCGGAUUAGCGAUGUUUAAAUCUGCAUCAUUUACUCCAUAUUUGGACUAUAAAAACAGUUUUAAAAUAAGUUUUUUUACUCUAAAAAAUAUUCGACAACUUAUCUCACUUGGCAUAUGUAGUUGGAUAUUAAUAGCACUGGCUCUGUGUUUUGUUUUAUUUUAGUUAUGUUAUGUUAAGUAAUUUAUGGCUAUUGGCUACUACUAAAAAGCGAUUCCUGUUCCUGUAUCGCUGUAUCGCUUUUUUGUAGUACGUAGCCGUAAUUUAGGAACGGACCAUUAGAUAUUUGAGAGGGGGGGGCAAAUACCAAAAAAAAAUUCGCGCACAGAAAAAAUCCUGAAAAAAAUAUCGUGCACAAGAAACCUAUGGUCCGUCCCUUAUAUAUUGCCAUUAUUGCGUAUGACAAGGACUGAUGGAUAAUCCAGUUAUGCUUAAGUUUAUUAAGUACUUCUCAUUAGGUUUUGGUGAGGAAUUUGUGCAAGACGCUCACGCGAUGCGAUCGAAGUCACGGAAAGUCUAGACUUGCAUGAAUAAACUAUUAUUACGGGGUUGUUAACGUGAUCUCGCUUUGUCGGAACGAGAUGUGAAGCGGAAUGAUUUUGAUGUAUUGAAAUAAAGCACGGUGUGUAAUUUAGCAUAGCCUGCAAAGCAGGUGUUGGGUGGGCCUGUCUGAAAUCCCCCCCCCCCCCUCAAAUUUAAUGCCUGCUUUGCAAGCUAGAUUAAUUUCUACUUUUCUAGCGACAGGUUAUAAUAUAUUUGUAA